CGCGCAUUCCCAGAGGAUAUCUUCAACUCUUGCGGCUGCUGUCUCAGAUCAACUCCAGCAGUAUCAGCAGCAGCAGUAACAACAUCAACAGCAAAGGCAGCAAACUCACUUAAGGACUUAAGUAAGAAUUUACCAGAACAGGCAUCACGUUAAUGUUAAAAAUUAAAAAAAA
This is a non-coding RNA of Pimephales promelas (fathead minnow), 172 nucleotides long. Lineage: Eukaryota; Metazoa; Chordata; Actinopteri; Cypriniformes; Leuciscidae. The record is from RefSeq and is a predicted model, not a curated record.